AUACGGAGGGUGCAAGCGUUGUUCGGAAUCACUGGGCGUAAAGGGCGCGCAGGCGGUUUGGUAAGUCAGAUGUGAAAGCCCACGGCUCAACCGUGGAAGUGCAUUUGGAACUGCCAGACUUGAGUACCAGAGGGGAAAGUGGAAUUCCCGGUGUAGAGGUGAAAUUCGUAGAUAUCGGGAGGAAUACCGGUGGCGAAGGCGACUUUCUGGCUGGAUACUGACGCUGAGGCGCGAAAGCGUGGGGAGCAAACAGGAUUAGAUACCCCAGUAGUCC
This 274-nucleotide ribosomal RNA is filed under the name uncultured bacterium. RNAcentral's name for it is "partial 16S ribosomal RNA". It matches the Rfam family "Bacterial small subunit ribosomal RNA", at positions 523 to 796 of the family's 1533-position model. The record is from RNAcentral.